RNAcentral lists this transfer RNA (356 nucleotides) under uncultured Microcystis sp. RNAcentral describes it as "partial 16S-23S ribosomal RNA intergenic spacer". The stretch from base 133 to 206 matches the Rfam family "tRNA". Lineage: Bacteria; Bacillati; Cyanobacteriota; Cyanophyceae; Chroococcales; Microcystaceae. The record is from RNAcentral.
AAGGGAGACCUAAUUCAGGUAUGGGACGAAAAAAAAGUAGUCGCUACCAAGAAUCAAUCCCAAAAGGUCGGAGCGAGGUAUGAGGCUUUCAAACUAGGUUCUGGGUUCAAACAAGACCUGAAUCAGGAACAAGGGCUAUUAGCUCAGGUGGUUAGAGCGCACCCCUGAUAAGGGUGAGGUCCCUGGUUCGAGUCCAGGAUGGCCCACCUGCACAGGUGGCAAAAACAAGAGAAGCGAGGAAUCAGCACCUUAUCUUAUCUAUAUAUAAGAGAGAAUGCUGGCUCUGAGUAAAGAGUCCAGAGGAACCUUGAAAACUGCAUAGGGCUAGGUGAAAAAGCCAAAAAAGAAGACCGCAA